CCUACGGGAGGCAGCAGUGGGGAAUAUUGCACAAUGGGGGAAACCCUGAUGCAGCGACGCCGCGUGAGUGAAGAAGUAUCUCGGUACGUAAAGCUCUAUUAGCAGGGAAGAAAAUGACGGUACCUGACUAAGAAGCCCCGGCUCACUACGUGCCAGCAGCCGCGGUAAUACGUAGGGGGCAAGCGUUAUCCGGAUUUACUGGGUGUAAAGGGAGCGUAGACGGCAGCACAAGUGUGGAGUGAAAUCCCGGGGCUUAACCCCGGAACUGCUUUGGAAACUGUGCGGCUGGAGUGCAGGAGGGGUAGGCGGAAGUCCUGGUGUAGCGGUGAAAUGCGUAGAUAUUAGGAGGAACACCGGUGGCGAAGGCGGCUUACUGGACUGUAACUGACGUUGAGGCUCGAAAGCGUGGGGAGCAAACAGGAUUAGAUACCCGGGUAGUC
Molecule: ribosomal RNA, 440 nt
Filed under: uncultured bacterium
Lineage: Bacteria
Description: partial 16S ribosomal RNA
Rfam family: Bacterial small subunit ribosomal RNA
Source: RNAcentral